This 1498-nucleotide ribosomal RNA is filed under the name metagenome. RNAcentral describes it as "bacterial SSU rRNA". It matches the Rfam family "Bacterial small subunit ribosomal RNA". The record is from RNAcentral.
AGAGUUUGAUCCUGGCUCAGGACGAACGCUGGCGGCGUGCCUAAUACAUGCAAGUCGAGCGGACAGAUGGGAGCUUGCUCCCUGAUGUUAGCGGCGGACGGGUGAGUAACACGUGGGUAACCUGCCUGUAAGACUGGGAUAACUCCGGGAAACCGGGGCUAAUACCGGAUGGUUGUUUGAACCGCAUGGUUCAAACAUAAAAGGUGGCUUCGGCUACCACUUGCAGAUGGACCCGCGGCGCAUUAGCUAGUUGGUGAGGUAAUGGCUCACCAAGGCAACGAUGCGUAGCCGACCUGAGAGGGUGAUCGGCCACACUGGGACUGAGACACGGCCCAGACUCCUACGGGAGGCAGCAGUAGGGAAUCUUCCGCAAUGGACGAAAGUCUGACGGAGCAACGCCGCGUGAGUGAUGAAGGUUUUCGGAUCGUAAAGCUCUGUUGUUAGGGAAGAACAAGUGCCGUUCGAAUAGGGCGGUACCUUGACGGUACCUAACCAGAAAGCCACGGCUAACUACGUGCCAGCAGCCGCGGUAAUACGUAGGUGGCAAGCGUUGUCCGGAAUUAUUGGGCGUAAAGGGCUCGCAGGCGGUUUCUUAAGUCUGAUGUGAAAGCCCCCGGCUCAACCGGGGAGGGUCAUUGGAAACUGGGGAACUUGAGUGCAGAAGAGGAGAGUGGAAUUCCACGUGUAGCGGUGAAAUGCGUAGAGAUGUGGAGGAACACCAGUGGCGAAGGCGACUCUCUGGUCUGUAACUGACGCUGAGGAGCGAAAGCGUGGGGAGCGAACAGGAUUAGAUACCCUGGUAGUCCACGCCGUAAACGAUGAGUGCUAAGUGUUAGGGGGUUUCCGCCCCUUAGUGCUGCAGCUAACGCAUUAAGCACUCCGCCUGGGGAGUACGGUCGCAAGACUGAGACUCAAAGGAAUUGACGGGGGCCCGCACAAGCGGUGGAGCAUGUGGUUUAAUUCGAAGCAACGCGAAGAACCUUACCAGGUCUUGACAUCCUCUGACAAUCCUAGAGAUAGGACGUCCCCUUCGGGGGCAGAGUGACAGGUGGUGCAUGGUUGUCGUCAGCUCGUGUCGUGAGAUGUUGGGUUAAGUCCCGCAACGAGCGCAACCCUUGAUCUUAGUUGCCAGCAUUCAGUUGGGCACUCUAAGGUGACUGCCGGUGACAAACCGGAGGAAGGUGGGGAUGACGUCAAAUCAUCAUGCCCCUUAUGACCUGGGCUACACACGUGCUACAAUGGACAGAACAAAGGGCAGCGAAACCGCGAGGUUAAGCCAAUCCCACAAAUCUGUUCUCAGUUCGGAUCGCAGUCUGCAACUCGACUGCGUGAAGCUGGAAUCGCUAGUAAUCGCGGAUCAGCAUGCCGCGGUGAAUACGCUCCCGGGCCUUGUACACACCGCCCGUCACACCACGAGAGUUUGUAACACCCGAAGUCGGUGAGGUAACCUUUUAGGAGCCAGCCGCCGAGGGUGGGACAGAUGAUUGGGGUGAAGUCG